This 350-nucleotide ribosomal RNA is filed under the name uncultured bacterium. RNAcentral's name for it is "bacterial SSU rRNA". It matches the Rfam family "Bacterial small subunit ribosomal RNA", at positions 131 to 514 of the family's 1533-position model. The record is from RNAcentral.
CUUUGGUUCGGAAUAACAGCUGGAAACGGCUGCUAAUACCGGAUGAUGACGAAAGUCCAAAGAUUUAUCGCCAGAGGAUGAGCCCGCGUUGGAUUAGGUAGUUGGUGGGGUAAAGGCCUACCAAGCCGACGAUCCAUAGCUGGUCUGAGAGGAUGAUCAGCCACACUGGGACUGAGACACGGCCCAGACUCCUACGGUUAGGCAGCAGUGGGGAAUAUUGGACAAUGGGCGCAAGCCUGAUCCAGCAAUGCCGCGUGAGUGAUGAAGGCCCUAGGGUUGUAAAGCUCUUUUACCCGGGAAGAUAAUGACUGUACCGGGAGAAUAAGCCCCGGCUAACUCCGUGCCAGCAG